RNAcentral lists this ribosomal RNA (518 nucleotides) under Helicobacter pylori. RNAcentral describes it as "partial 23S ribosomal RNA". It matches the Rfam family "Bacterial large subunit ribosomal RNA", at positions 1742 to 2270 of the family's 2925-position model. The record is from RNAcentral. Lineage: Bacteria; Pseudomonadati; Campylobacterota; Epsilonproteobacteria; Campylobacterales; Helicobacteraceae.
UAAGGUGUGCCGCAGCAAUGCGGUCUCAGCAAAGAGUCCCUCCCGACUGUUUACCAAAAACACAGCACUUUGCCAACUCGUAAGAGGAAGUAUAAGGUGUGACGCCUGCCCGGUGCUCGAAGGUUAAGAGGAUGCGUCAGUCGCAAGAUGAAGCGUUGAAUUGAAGCCCGAGUAAACGGCGGCCGUAACUAUAACGGUCCUAAGGUAGCGAAUUCCUUGUCGGUUAAAUACCGACCUGCAUGAAUGGCGUAACGAGAUGGGAGCUGUCUCAACCAGAGAUUCAGUGAAAUUGUAGUGGAGGUGAAAAUUCCUCCUACCCGCGGCAAGACGGAAAGACCCCGUGGACCUUUACUACAACUUAGCACUGCUAAUGGGAAUAUCAUGCGCAGGAUAGGUGGGAGGCUUUGAAGUAAGGGCUUUGGCUCUUAUGGAGCCAUCCUUGAGAUACCACCCUUGAUGUUUCUGUUAGCUAACUGGCCUGUGUUAUCCACAGGCAGGACAAUGCUUGGUGGGUAGUU